GUGCAAGGGAUGCGUAUUCUCGAAUAAGGUAAGGAUACUGGAUACCACGUUAAGAGAUGGUGAACAAGCUCCAGGAAUAGAUUUUACUGUUGAACAAAAGGUAAGAAUAGCAAAUCAAUUAGUUAAACUGGGUGUAGAUGUAAUAGAAGCCGGAUUUCCUGCUUCUUCUGAAGGAGAUUUUAUUGCAACUAAGAAAAUUUUGGAAGAAGUAGGAGAUAAAACUGAAGUUAUUGGUCUAGCUAGAGCAAAUAA
Molecule: small RNA, 252 nt
Filed under: Acidianus hospitalis W1
Lineage: Archaea; Thermoproteati; Thermoproteota; Thermoprotei; Sulfolobales; Sulfolobaceae
Source: RNAcentral